AAUAUUUCCUUGUUUGAAGAUACAAAGUCAAAGACUCAUACGGACUUCGGCUACACCAUCAAAACUUUGUGAGGCAAUAAGAAGCUUCGUUAGUUUUUUGGAGUCAAAUAUGACUAGAUGUCAUGUGUAUGAUUAAGUAUAAGAACUAGAACCAUAACUGAUUCCCAAAAGCUAAAGUAAUGUUUCCUUGUUAGAAGAUACAAAGCUAAAAACUCAUACGGACUUCGGCUAAGCCAUCAAAAUUUUGAGAAGCAAUAAGAAGCUUGGUUAGUGUUUUGGAGUCAAAUAUGACUAGAUGUCAUGUGUAUGAUUGAGUAUAAGAACUAGAACCGCAACCGUUUCCCAAAAGCUAAAGUAGUGUUUCCUUGUUAGAAGCUACAAAGCCAAAGACUCAUACGGACUUCGGCUACACCAUCAAAGUUUUGAGAAGCAAUAAGAAGCUUGGUUAGUAUUUUGGAGUCAAAUAAGACAAGAUGUUAUGUGUUUGAUUGAGUAUAAGAACUAGAACCGCAACAUCUUCCCAAAAGCUAAAGUUGUGUUUCCCUUCUAGAAGAUACAAAGCCAAAAACUCAUACGGACUUUGGCUACACCAUCAAAGCUUUAAGAAGCAACAAGAAGUUUGGUUAGUGUUUUGGAGUAAAAAACGACUAUA
Molecule: small RNA, 652 nt
Filed under: Arabidopsis thaliana (thale cress)
Lineage: Eukaryota; Viridiplantae; Streptophyta; Magnoliopsida; Brassicales; Brassicaceae
Description: ATSL197650
Source: RNAcentral